CCUACGGGAGGCAGCAGUGGGGAAUUUUGGACAAUGGGCGAAAGCCUGAUCCAGCAAUGCCGCGUGAGUGAAGAAGGCCUUCGGGUUGUAAAGCUCUUUUGUCAGGGAAGAAACGGUGAGAGCUAAUAUCUCUUGCUAAUGACGGUACCUGAAGAAUAAGCACCGGCUAACUACGUGCCAGCAGCCGCGGUAAUACGUAGGGUGCAAGCGUUAAUCGGAAUUACUGGGCGUAAAGCGUGCGCAGGCGGUUUUGUAAGUCUGAUGUGAAAUCCCCGGGCUCAACCUGGGAAUUGCAUUGGAGACUGCAAGGCUAGAAUCUGGCAGAGGGGGGUAGAAUUCCACGUGUAGCAGUGAAAUGCGUAGAUAUGUGGAGGAACACCGAUGGCGAAGGCAGCCCCCUGGGUCAAGAUUGACGCUCAUGCACGAAAGCGUGGGGAGCAAACAGGAUUAGAUACCCUGGUAGUCCACGCCCUAAACGAUGUCUACUAGUUGUCGGGUCUUAAUUGACUUGGUAACGCAGCUAACGCGUGAAGUAGACCGCCUGGGGAGUACGGUCGCAAGAUUAAAACGUAAAGGAAUUGACGG
RNAcentral lists this ribosomal RNA (585 nucleotides) under uncultured bacterium. RNAcentral's name for it is "bacterial SSU rRNA". It matches the Rfam family "Bacterial small subunit ribosomal RNA", at positions 338 to 916 of the family's 1533-position model. The record is from RNAcentral.